RNAcentral lists this ribosomal RNA (305 nucleotides) under uncultured bacterium. RNAcentral describes it as "bacterial SSU rRNA". It matches the Rfam family "Bacterial small subunit ribosomal RNA", at positions 336 to 638 of the family's 1533-position model. The record is from RNAcentral.
UUCCUACGGGAGGCAGCAGUGAGGAAUAUUGGUCAAUGGGCGGGAGCCUGAACCAGCCAAGUCGCGUGAGGGAAGACGGUCCUAUGGAUUGUAAACCUCUUUUGUCGGGGAGCAAAGAGAUCACGUGUGGUCAAAAGCGAGAGUACCCGAAGAAAAAGCAUCGGCUAACUCCGUGCCAGCAGCCGCGGUAAUACGGAGGAUGCGGGCGUUAUCCGGAUUUAUUGGGUUUAAAGGGUGCGUAGGCGGAAUAUCAAGUCAGCGGUAAAAAUUCGGGGCUCAACCCCGUCGUGCCGUUGAAACUGAUG